RNAcentral lists this unclassified non-coding RNA (329 nucleotides) under uncultured fungus. RNAcentral describes it as "partial contains small subunit ribosomal RNA, internal transcribed spacer 1, and 5.8S ribosomal RNA". The stretch from base 1 to 73 matches the Rfam family "Eukaryotic small subunit ribosomal RNA", at positions 1759 to 1831 of the family's 1831-position model. The record is from RNAcentral. Lineage: Eukaryota; Fungi.
GCAAACUUGGUCAUUUAGAGGAAGUAAAAGUCGUAACAAGGUUUCCGUAGGUGAACCUGCGGAAGGAUCAUUACCGAAUCGUCGAACACGGGUUGUCGCUGGCCUCUCGGAAGUGGGGCAUGUGCACGCUCUGUUUACGCAUCCACUCACACCUGUGCACUCUCUGUAGUUUUGCGGUUUGGAAGGCGCCGUCUUCCUUCCGUGGCUCUACGUCUUUACACACACGCCGUAGUGAAGUCUCGUGGAAUGUUUUUUUUUUGCGUUUAACGCGAUACAAUACAACUUUCAGCAACGGAUCUCUUGGCUCUCGCAUCGAUGAAGAACGCAGC